This 71-nucleotide transfer RNA is filed under the name Desmophyllum pertusum. Its description in RNAcentral is "tRNA-Val". The record is from RNAcentral. Lineage: Eukaryota; Metazoa; Cnidaria; Anthozoa; Scleractinia; Caryophylliidae.
GUUUCCGUGGUGGUGGUUAUCACGUCCGCUUAACACGCGGAAGGUCGCAGGUUCGGUCCCUGCCGGAAACA